CGCUAUCACUCCUACGGGAGGCAGCAGUGGGGAAUAUUGCACAAUGGGGGAAACCCUGGAUGCAGCCAUGCCGCGUGUGUGAAGAAGGCCUUCGGGUUGUAAAGCACUUUCAGUAGGGAGGAAGGUAGUGUAGUUAACACCUGCAUUAUUUGACGUUACCUACAGAAGAAGCACCGGCUAACUCCGUGCCAGCAGCCGCGGUAAUACGGAGGGUGCGAGCGUUAAUCGGAAUUACUGGGCGUAAAGCGCAUGCAGGCGGCCUGUUAAGUCAGAUGUGAAAGCCCGGGGCUUAACCUCGGAAUUGCAUUUGAAACUGGCGGGCUAGAGUCUUGUAGAGGGGGUAGAAUUUCAGGUGUAGCGGUGAAAAUGCGUAGAGAUCUGAAGGAAUACCAGUGGCGAAGGCGGCCCCCUGGACAAAGACUGACGCUCAGAUGCGAAAGCGUGGGGAGCAAACAGGAUUAGAUACCCUGGUAG
Molecule: ribosomal RNA, 474 nt
Filed under: uncultured bacterium
Lineage: Bacteria
Description: bacterial SSU rRNA
Rfam family: Bacterial small subunit ribosomal RNA
Source: RNAcentral